This 72-nucleotide transfer RNA is filed under the name Neolissochilus hexagonolepis (copper masheer). Its description in RNAcentral is "tRNA-Thr". It matches the Rfam family "tRNA". Rfam says of the family: Transfer RNA (tRNA) molecules are approximately 80 nucleotides in length. Their secondary structure includes four short double-helical elements and three loops (D, anti-codon, and T loops). The record is from RNAcentral. Lineage: Eukaryota; Metazoa; Chordata; Actinopteri; Cypriniformes; Cyprinidae.
GCCCUAGUAGCUUAGUCUAAAAGCAUCGGUCUUGUAAUCCGGAAGUCGGAGGUUAAAACCCUCCCUAGUGCU